UUGGAGGGCAAGUCUGGUGCCAGCAGCCGCGGUAAUUCCAGCUCCAAUAGCGUAUAUUAAAGUUGUUGCAGUUAAAAAGCUCGUAGUCGAAUUUCGGGAUCAAUUUGCUGGUCGUGCCUUCGGUACGCACUGGUAUUAUUGGUUUCUCCUUUCUGAUGAAUCGCGAUGUCAUUAAUUUGGUGUCGUGGGGAAUCAGGACCGUUACUUUGAAAAAAUUAGAGUGUUUAAAGCAGGCUCACGCUUGAAUACAUUAGCAUGGAAUAAUGAAAUAGGACGUUUGAUUCUAUUUUGUUGGUUUCUAGGAUCGACGUAAUGAUUAAUAGGGAUAGUUGGGGCAUUAGUAUUCAAUUGUCAGAGGUGAAAUUCUUGGAUUUAUUGAAGACUAACUACUGCGAAAGCAUUUGCCAAGGAUGUUUUCAUUAAUCAAGAACGAAAGUUAGGGGAUCGAAGACGAUCAGAUACCGUCGUAGUCUUAACCAUAAACUAUGCCGACUAGGGAUCGGAUGAUGUUAAUUUUUUAAUGACUCAUUCGGCGCCUUACGGGAAACCAAAGUGUUUGGGUUC
This 564-nucleotide ribosomal RNA is filed under the name uncultured Glomeromycotina. RNAcentral's name for it is "SSU rRNA". It matches the Rfam family "Eukaryotic small subunit ribosomal RNA", at positions 548 to 1114 of the family's 1831-position model. Lineage: Eukaryota; Fungi; Glomeromycota. The record is from RNAcentral.